RNAcentral lists this transfer RNA (73 nucleotides) under Selenomonadaceae bacterium. Its description in RNAcentral is "tRNA-Val". It matches the Rfam family "tRNA". Rfam says of the family: Transfer RNA (tRNA) molecules are approximately 80 nucleotides in length. Lineage: Bacteria; Bacillati; Bacillota; Negativicutes; Selenomonadales; Selenomonadaceae. The record is from RNAcentral.
GCUCAUUUAGCCCAGUUGGUAGAGCAUUUCCGUCACAUGGAAGGGGUCGGGGGUUCGAGUCCCUCAAUGAGCA